AAAUUGAAGAGUUUGAUCAUGGCUCAGAUUGAACGCUGGCGGCAGGCCUAACACAUGCAAGUCGAACGGUAACAGGAAGCAGCUUGCUGCUUUGCUGACGAGUGGCGGACGGGUGAGUAAUGUCUGGGAAACUGCCUGAUGGAGGGGGAUAACUACUGGAAACGGUGGCUAAUACCGCAUAACGUCGCAAGACCAAAGAGGGGGACCUUCGGGCCUCUUGCCAUCAGAUGUGCCCAGAUGGGAUUAGCUUGUUGGUGAGGUAACGGCUCACCAAGGCGACGAUCCCUAGCUGGUCUGAGAGGAUGACCAGCCACACUGGAACUGAGACACGGUCCAGACUCCUACGGGAGGCAGCAGUGGGGAAUAUUGCACAAUGGGCGCAAGACUGAUGCAGACAUGCCGCGUGUAUGAAGAAGGCCUUCGGGUUGUAAAGUACUUUCAGCGGGGAGGAAGGUGUUGUGGUUAAUAACCGCAGCAAUUGACGUUACCCGCAGAAGAAGCACCGGCUAACUCCGUGCCAGCAGCCGCGGUAAUACGGAGGGUGCAAGCGUUAAUCGGAAUUACUGGGCGUAAAGCGCACGCAGGCGGUCUGUCAAGUCGGAUGUGAAAUCCCCGGGCUCAACCUGGGAACUGCAUUCGAAACUGGCAGGCUUGAGUCUUGUAGAGGGGGGUAGAAUUCCAGGUGUAGCGGUGAAAUGCGUAGAGAUCUGGAGGAAUACCGGUGGCGAAGGCGGCCCCCUGGACAAAGACUGACGCUCAGGUGCGAAAGCGUGGGGAGCAAACAGGAUUAGAUACCCUGGUAGUCCACGCCGUAAACGAUGUCUACUUGGAGGUUGUGCCCUUGAGGCGUGGCUUCCGGAGCUAACGCGUUAAGUAGACCGCCUGGGGAGUACGGCCGCAAGGUUAAAACUCAAAUGAAUUGACGGGGGCCCGCACAAGCGGUGGAGCAUGUGGUUUAAUUCGAUGCAACGCGAAGAACCUUACCUGGUCUUGACAUCCACAGAACUUUCCAGAGAUGGACUGGUGCCUUCGGGAACUGUGAGACAGGUGCUGCAUGGCUGUCGUCAGCUCGUGUUGUGAAAUGUUGGGUUAAGUCCCGCAACGAGCGCAACCCUUAUCCUUUGUUGCCAGCGAUUAGGUCGGGAACUCAAAGGAGACUGCCAGUGAUAAACUGGAGGAAGGUGGGGAUGACGUCAAGUCAUCAUGGCCCUUACGACCAGGGCUACACACGUGCUACAAUGGCGCAUACAAAGAGAAGCGACCUCGCGAGAGCAAGCGGACCUCAUAAAGUGCGUCGUAGUCCGGAUUGGAGUCUGCAACUCGACUCCAUGAAGUCGGAAUCGCUAGUAAUCGUGGAUCAGAAUGCCACGGUGAAUACGUUCCCGGGCCUUGUACACACCGCCCGUCACACCAUGGGAGUGGGUUGCAAAAGAAGUAGGUAGCUUAACCUUCGGGAGGGCGCUUACCACUUUGUGAUUCAUGACUGGGGUGAAGUCGUAACAAGGUAACCGUAGGGGAACCUGCGGUUGGAUCACCUCCUUACCUUAAAGAAGC
RNAcentral lists this ribosomal RNA (1554 nucleotides) under Salmonella enterica. RNAcentral describes it as "bacterial SSU rRNA". It matches the Rfam family "Bacterial small subunit ribosomal RNA". Lineage: Bacteria; Pseudomonadati; Pseudomonadota; Gammaproteobacteria; Enterobacterales; Enterobacteriaceae. The record is from RNAcentral.